GGAGGGAACGAAGGAUGGAUUGAAAGAGGGAGGUGGAGAAGAGGUACCUAAUCAGCAAGCUUCCUCCCUCCUGACCACACAGUAGUCCCUGUAAAGACAUCCAAAGGCUUGGCUCUGGAUCCAGCUUCUGUGUGACUCCUGAAGACAGGAGUGAGGCACCAGCUUGACAGAGGUCAAGUACCUAGGAACAGCAGCAGCAAGCAGGAGGCAGAGCCUUCUGAGAUUGUUCUGUAUGACAAGCCACAUUUAAAUUCGAGAAGUCUUUAUAAACAGAAAGAUGGAGAUGGAGAUGGAGAGAAGGGGAGGUGGAGGUGGAGAGGGCUUAGCGACUGAUGGCGCUUUGUAAUCUUCCUGAGAGCAAGCCAGCAGCCUCCUGGUAUGCCAAGCGGGAGGCCUGGCUGCACAGCUCUGUUUCCCCCUUGCUUUUGGCAGAUUCUUCGGCUGCCGUAGAUUGAAGAAAAUAGGAAUAAGCAUCUUUCGACCACAAACAGAUGUGCUUGAUAAAGAAAAUGUCAGCAAAAAUACUGAAGCAAUGUGUCACAGCGGCUUUCUGACAGAUAGCAGGAAAAGAUUUGUUCACAUUCUGCUACCUGUGAGCUGGUGUUGCCAUGUCCGGAUGACUUAAGAACCCAUAUUCCUCAGCCUUCUAACAUGGGCUGAUGACAAGUAGCUAGCUCCACAGGACACCUCCAGACUUUCAGUAGAAAACUGGGGCUGGUGAAACACUCAGCCUUGUGGCCUGAGAAGCUAUGAGGUUCUCAGCUUCUGAAUUCAGUGUGAGGCAGCCAUUAUUGAUUACCUGGACUAUCAUAGCCAACAAGUUUCUCCAGGAACAGCAUAGUCAGACUUGAAACUUCUGAAGAUCUCACCAAGACUCCAGAGACAGGUCAGUUGGCUGAAUGCUUGCCAUGCCAUGAAUUCAAUCUCUAAUGCCCAUGCAGGCCAGCAGUUGACUUUACUUAGACACCAGCUUCUAAAACAGUGUACAGAGCGCUCUCUCUCUCUCUCUCUCUCUCUCCCUCUCUCUCUCUC
Mus musculus (house mouse) is the source of this 1032-nucleotide long non-coding RNA. RefSeq annotates it as predicted gene, 40999. The transcript is spliced from 3 exons. The record is from RefSeq and is a predicted model, not a curated record. Lineage: Eukaryota; Metazoa; Chordata; Mammalia; Rodentia; Muridae.